Long non-coding RNA from Amaranthus tricolor (Joseph's coat), 2420 nucleotides. RefSeq lists it as uncharacterized. NCBI's taxonomy places the organism in Eukaryota, Viridiplantae, Streptophyta, Magnoliopsida, Caryophyllales, Amaranthaceae. The record is from RefSeq and is a predicted model, not a curated record. The transcript is spliced from 3 exons.
UACCCUAGGGUAAUAUAUUUUGAAGUCAUGGAAUAAUCCCUUUCUCACAAUCUUGUCAGCCGUUGCUCUCCUCUUUACAAAUGUGAAAAGCUUUCUCUCCCUUCUCCACUAUUGUUGAAGAUUAAGAUUUCUAAUCUCUCUCAUAUUCAAUAACUGUGAAAAAAUCAAGAUUAAGGGAUGCGAUGAUGAAGUUUAUCAUUUCAUAACUAAUGACUUUUCUUGAAUUACUUAAAAUUCCGAGAAAAAUAAAUGUUCAUUCAGCCCAAAAAAGCUUAAUACUAGGUAUGGGAAAUGUUAAUGAAUUUCUUAGAGAUGAAUUAAGUUGUUCUGACCAACAUAGGAUGGAUAAGAGUACUUUUCACAAGUUAUGUGAUUUGCUUAAAAAUCAUGGUGGUUUAAAGGUGUCAAGAAAUAUAUUUGUGGAACAGAGAGUUGCAAUAUUUUUAAACAUAUUGGGCCAUGAUCAAAAUCAAAGGUUGAUUGUUAGAUGUUUGAGAAGAUCAAAAGACAAUUACUGGGAACUUCUGACAAAUACUGAGGUGUGUUUUGCGAUUGCACAACAUCCUAUUGAAAACUCCUGAACCUAUCCCCGAGGAUAGCAAUGAUGAGAGAUGGAAGUGGUUUAAGAGUUGUCUUGGGGCUUUAGACGAAACAUUCAUUAAACUAAAAGUUCGAGAGGUUGACAAGCCUCGGUAGCGAACAAGAAAAGGUGACAUUUAAACUAAUGUAUUGGCAGCUUAUUCGGCAGAUAUGGAGUUUACCUAUGUUUUACCGGGUUGGCAAGGCUCUGCAGCUGAUAGUAGAAUCCCAAAGGAUGCCCUUUUAAAAACUCAUACAAUUAGGAUUCCUACCUAUCUUAACAUCUUAAGUUAUGAAUGUAGAUUAAUGAUGAACUUUUUUAUCAAUUUUCUUAGAACCUUAUUACUUAGUUGAUGUUGGAUAUACAAAUGGAGAAGGCUUUUUGGCCCCAUAUAGAGGCCAAAAGUAUGAUUUAAAAGAAUGAAAAGAUGGUUACAAACCAAGAACAUCACUAGAGUAUUUCAACAUGAAACACUCGGCUGCGAGAAAAUUUAAUUGAAAGGUGUUUUGGUUUGUUAAAGAAUAUGAGAUGGGCAAUACUUUGCAAUUCUAGCUUUUAUGAAGCUGAAAAACAUGCCAAUAUUAUAUCUGCAUGUUGUCUUCUCCAUAAUCUUAUUCGUAGAGAAAUGAAGUUUGAUCCACUUGAGCCUUUGUUGGAUACUGAUUAUGGACGACAAUUGAUGAAUGUUGCUGAUGAUGGCGACAAUAUUGAUGUAGUUGAAUCAUCUAUCGCUUGGACUCUUUGGAGAGACAAUCUUGCUCAUCAAAUGUUUGAAAAUUGAAGGCUUCGUAGGGGAACACAAUCAACUAUAAUUUGAUUAUGUUUCAUGUUAUUGCAAAAUUGUAUUGUGAAUGUAAUGUGAAGUUUUGAUACUAAGAAACUUUGAUAUAAUGUAUUGUUUAUAAUGAGCUAUGUUUUAAUGAUAUUGCUUUACUGAUCUUUUUUAAUGAGUUUGUUAGGUUACCCAAUGUGCAAAGUAAAUUUCUCCACUUUAUUUUAUGGCAUGUUGUAUAACGAGCUUGCUAUUUGAAUAUUCCAUGAUUAUGCCUAUAUGGUCUCGUUGAGCUCGCAGAAUACUAUGCUAUGAGCGGAAGUGGAGCAAGUGUUGACAAGAAUACUCAAAGGAGAUGGACUUAUGAAGAAGAUCAACUUUUGGUGAAAUUGUUGGUGGAAAUGUUUGCUGGAGGGAAAUGAAAAGCCGAGAAUGGUUUUAGAAGUGGUUAUUUGGCGCGUCUGAAGAAGUUAUUUGCUGUGAAACAAUGUUGGAAAAAAUAAAGAAAUACAAAGUAUGCAAAAAAGAUUUAGAAACAAUGUUGGAAAAAAUGAUUGAAAGCAGUAAUGCACAAAUAGAGAAGUUGGUUUCGGUAUUGGAAGCUCCAAAGAAUUCUAAAUCCGAUUUGCAUGAAGAAUUAGGGAAAGAUCAUGGCAUUUCAAGAGCUCAAGCAUUAAUCUUGUGUAAGAAGAUGAGGAUGAUAUUGUGAUAUUUCGUGAUUUGCAAGACGAAGAUGAAAAAUAUGAUUUUCUUAUAAUGAUUUUAAAUCAAGUGUAAAGUAAUUUGUUGUUAUGAACUUUUGUUAAGUGUUUGAGAAAUAUGACUGUAUUUUCUCUUGGAUUUUUAUUAAUUUUCUAGUAUAAAUACCAAAUCAAGAAAAUUUUAUCCCAUAAAGUAUCUCCCAUAGUACAAGGUCCCAUGGUACUCUUUCUUCCCAAAUUGAUUACCCUGUAAAUAUUAUAUUGUAUUCCAGGCAGACCCUACGAGUUGAUUUGUUCAAUCCUCUGCUUCAAAAUCUCUUUUAAAGUUUUGAAUUUCGGCUUAGAAGCAGUUUCCUUACUUAGAUAU